Molecule: long non-coding RNA, 4063 nt
Filed under: Homo sapiens (human)
Lineage: Eukaryota; Metazoa; Chordata; Mammalia; Primates; Hominidae
Description: long non-coding RNA NONHSAT084640.2
Rfam family: TTC28 antisense RNA 1 conserved region 4 (bases 3956-4063)
Source: RNAcentral
AAGUAAGCAAAAUGUUUUCAUCUUUCAACAGCAUGACCCAUCUGCCUGGCACCAGCACCUGGGGCUGCCAGGCAGCCACCCCUGCAGCUGUGUUGACAGGACCUGGCAGAGGGACUGACCCACCUUUGGAAAAUGACACCAGCAAUAUCAGGAUGUGUCAACUGGAUUUAUGCUAAGAAAAUAGGAUUUUUGGUGUUCCUCUGUUUCCCAAAGUUUGAGACACUUUCAGACACUCUGCUUUGCGGUUGUGGCCGAUGUUACCCAUGGGUGGGACUUUUGCUUUGCUCUAGAUUUUUGUAACACCCUGGGGAGUUUCAGGGGCCAAUGCUGAGAGAAGACCACAGGCUGACACAUCAUGAGGUAUGUUGGUAAAACAGUCCCGGCUGGCCGAGAGGCCACUGAGGGAACAGGCCCAGGGUUUGGUUUGUACUCUGUGAGUCUUGGCCUGGCAGGGUUUCCUGCAAAGCAGAGUCCUCUGAGUGGGACCCCAGGGGAAGCAGGUUGUUGCCUGGAGCUGAGGGGCAGCUCUGUAUUCAGGAGGGGUGCCUGCCUUCCCAUCUCCCCUGUGACCAGAUGUCACAGAAACAUUCUCUCUUUACUCCCUAGACCCUCUGGGCAGGUCCACUAAGAGCAUGUAUUCUAGAACAUGCAGGGCUUGAAGCUUCACAAGAUAUUCAGUGCACUCCUUACAGAUCCUGUCAAAUGUGGACCGGGUGGUGUCAUCGCACCACCAUCAUCCCCUUGUUACCCCUGAGAACACAGCUUCAGAGAGGGUAAGUAACCUAUCUCAGGCCACACAGCCAGGACAUGGAGUAGAUCCAUCCUAAGUCUUUCUACCACACACUCCUUUCUACAGUCAUGGGUUAAAUGAGGGUGCCAUGGAAUGGGUCAUCCAGUGUACACUGACAUCAGGAGGAGUUUCACAUUCAUACACUCAUGGCAAAUGGUUCUGUUGCUCCCUGGUCCAAAGAUGAUCUUAAUAGUAGGAAAAACUCAUUUGGCAGAAGCAAGACUCAGCACACAGGCUCUCUCCCUGAGUCUUCUGUGGCUGGCCUUGCCCUGCCCUCCCCUCCCCAACCCCACUGGCAGAAUAAAGUCGGGGGGCUGUGAGGACUGAGCCCCAGGCCUUGACAGGCACCCGCAGCCAGCCGAACUCCCACCUGCCCAGUUGGAGGGGUGCGAGAAGGCCUUGCUGCUCUGCACCACCUUCAUGGCCUCCCCCAGGGCGGCGCUGGCUUUCAGGCCGUUCAGCAGGGAUGAGUAGAAGGCAUGGAUGAACAUCUUAGAAGCAGCCACUGGCACAGGCCACAGAGACACGAGGACACACUGAGCGCCGGCAGCCAGGAAGGCCCUUGUCAGCGCGAUGACCCCGUCGGCUGUGACUUUGCUGUUGGACUCCUGGGAGGAGCCAAGCACCACCAGCUUCACAGGCAGCUGCAGGUCCAGGACGUCGGCGGCAGUGCCUAACUUACUGAGAAUCAUGCCUGCUGUGAUGAGCCCUUGGAAACCAUCAGGACUGGAUGGUAGGGGUCCUGAGAGGAUUGGGGGAGGAGGCCUUGAUAUGACAGAGUGGACAGAGGCCGUGGAACCCAGGACAGCCAGCCUGCUCCACAAUCCUCAUCCCCACAGACCUUCAUGUGUGGCUCCUAAAUAAGAGGAAACCCACUCCUGAUAAGUCAGGGGCUUUGAAAAGUGAUUUUGUUUAAAUGGUGCAAACAAGCAAGCCAAUCUUGGGGAGACAGGGCUAAACUUAAGUCCUUUAAGAAGCUCUACAUACUGACAAGAUUCUAGUUCCCUUCCACCUUAUAUGCUGCAAAGUAAAAAGUAUCACUGAAUGAGAAAAUCAGCAUAAAGAAGCCCAAUAAUGUCUGCCUGAGUUUCCCCUAUGAUGACUUUUGGUACUUUUUGGGAAACAUUAAGUAUGAAGUUAUUUCAAAAUAAUUUUUUGGUGCCUCUGCUUGGUGAUGCCUUAAACUCUGGGUAAGAGAAACACCAGGUGCCUGUCAGGAGAUGGCCUUUUCCAGGUUUCUGGUUAAGCUACAAACAGCUAACUGGCUGCUGUCAUCAAAAUAAAAGCUUUCUGAAGGUGGAGGCAUCUGAUACCCAGAGUGCUGCUAUCAGCCGGCACGGUGGGCCGCUGGGUGGCAGGAGCGUCGAGAAGGCCAGCUCGCUUCCUAUCUGGGAUUCAGAAUCAGCUAUGGAAACUUGAGAGACCUAGAGAAAAUAACUUCUUUCACUUUGAACUGAUUCUUUGCUUCAUAAGAAAAGUAUUAUCCAGCCACAAAAAUGGUCAAAAUUCAGAUCUACAAAAGCCUGUCAGGCAGAAACUGACCCCACUUAGGCCACGCCAAUGAGCAAGUCAUCAAAGCAGCCAAGACAGGUCCUGUGGGGGCCACCCAUGCACAGGGCCCAGCCUCGGGUCCUAACCCCGCCUAUGCUUUCCGCCACCAUAAAGAGGCCCAUCUGGGUAAGACCUGUCCCGCCUGCUGUGGGGUAUUAGGGCAGAUGGGGUCUGAGGGGUCUGAGGGCUCUGAGAGCAGCUGGCAGCUCAAGGACAUCCGGAGUUGGAGGAUGGAGCAAUGCAGGCCCUUGUGGUAAAGACAGUCCUGCAGCCGCGCAGGCAGGGAUGCUGCAAGUGGAGUGCCAGGCGGGUGCGGAGCCCUGUGGGACUGUGGAGGGGUCAGAGGGAAGCCAGGAUUUUGGGGUCUCUGAGAGUUUGGAGAAGGGGAAGAAGAUUAAAGCUUGUUUCAAAAGUUUCUAAUCAGGUGGGCAGGGCCAAGGGUGGCUGUGGGGUGAGACCCAUGACUCAGGGUGGCCCACUGUUACUCUAUUGAUUUUUGGGCGUUUUUUUCCAAAUUGAUUAUUCUUGCUGAAUGAGACCUGAGUCCUUGACUGUCCCCUUAAAGCCACCUGACUUGUUUUCAGUUCCACUGGCCUGUCGGGCUGUUUUCUACUCAACUCCACUCUUGCUUGUCUGCCCUCCCUGCCUGGGGCCCAGCCAGCAGUCAGCUCAAGGGCCAGAUGAAUUGGGUGGCUGUGCUCUGCCCACUGGGCAUCGUGUGGAUGGUGGGUGACCAGCCCCCUCAGGUGCUCAGCCAGGCCUCAAGCCUUGCUGUGUACCUCAGAGCAGCUCCGUACCCUGAUGUCACAGCAAAGAAACUUAGACAUGACACAAACUGUGGCUUCCCAAGGCAGCAAAGAAUGGCCAGGGGUCAUGAGGGCCGUGCCCCACUUUUGGACAGACCUACUCUAAAGUCACGCUACCUGCGUGCAAAUCAUAAAAUCAACACUUUUGAGGAGAUCACAGCUAUGCCUUCGUAACACAGCCCAGUCCGACCAGAUAGACGGUGCCUCGUGACCCGAAAACAAGCCCCCGGCCCCCCACCAUGUGUGUGAGCCUUACCUUGGACUGCACGCUGAGGGAGCGGAUGGAAGGGACAGCAAGGAGGCCGAAGCGCUCGUAGAGGUACUCAUUGGAGGAGCUUCCCUUCAGGAGGGCGAAAGGAAUGAGGUAGAGCUCCCCCUCCAGAACCAGGAUGAGCUGCCGGUGCCGGCCCACGGGGCCGCUGGAGUGCAUCAGGCCCUAUGGAGCAAGCACGGAGAGGCUGACAUGGGUGGCCCAGCAGGCAGGGGUUUCAGGCACCAGGACAACCCUGAGCCCUAGCCUGGAUGACACAAGCACGAGCAGAACAAGGCUAAGGGCGCGGGCAUCUUAAUGAGAGCAGCAGGCAACAAUCCUGGAAGCUGGGUCCACACAGACUGCGGUGAACAAAGAGGUGGCGUGGAAGCUGCUGCUGCAGCCCAGAGCCUGCCAAGAAGGUCCCAGGUCCACAGGGCCUGCGCAACACUGGGUGCCAGGGGUGGGGCUGGCCUGCCCCCCAACCCCAUCUGCUGAGGAGUGGCUGACAAGCGGACACCCACCAGGGUGCCACUCGCUUGUGCCUGGGGAAGCAAAUGUGCUCGCUUGACCCGUCUGAUGUGCUGCCGUGGGCACUUGACUGAGAGUGGCAGAGCACUAGGCUAACCCAAAGUGACACAUGCCUGGCGGGAUGUUCAGUCUCUG